Molecule: ribosomal RNA, 292 nt
Filed under: uncultured bacterium
Lineage: Bacteria
Description: partial 16S ribosomal RNA
Rfam family: Bacterial small subunit ribosomal RNA
Source: RNAcentral
GUGUCAGCCGCCGCGGUAAAACGUAGGAGGCAAGCGUUAUCCGAAUUUACUGGGCGUAAAGCGCGUGCAGGCGGUUCGGUAAGUUGGAUGUGAAAUCUCCUGGCUCAACUGGGAGAGGUCGUUCAAAACUACCGGGCUAGAGGAUGGUAGAGGAAGGUGGAAUUCCCGGUGUAGUAGUGAAAUGCGUAGAUAUCGGGAGGAACACCUGUGGCGAAAGCGGCCUUCUGGACCAUACCUGACGCUCAGACGCGAAAGCUAGGGGAGCGAACGGGAUUAGAAACCCGUGUAGUCC